RNAcentral lists this ribosomal RNA (115 nucleotides) under Caerostris darwini. Lineage: Eukaryota; Metazoa; Arthropoda; Arachnida; Araneae; Araneidae. The record is from RNAcentral.
AACGGCCGUACCAUGCUGAAUAUACCGGUUCUCGUUAGAUCACCGAAGUUAAGCAUCAUUGGGCGCGGUCAGUACUUGCCCGGUGGGUGACCACCUGGGAACACUGCGUGCCGUU